RNAcentral lists this ribosomal RNA (2758 nucleotides) under Klebsiella pneumoniae. RNAcentral's name for it is "bacterial LSU rRNA". It matches the Rfam family "Bacterial large subunit ribosomal RNA". The record is from RNAcentral. Lineage: Bacteria; Pseudomonadati; Pseudomonadota; Gammaproteobacteria; Enterobacterales; Enterobacteriaceae.
CACUAUCGUUAACUGAAUACAUAGGUUAACGAGGCGAACCGGGGGAACUGAAACAUCUAAGUACCCCGAGGAAAAGAAAUCAACCGAGAUUCCCCCAGUAGCGGCGAGCGAACGGGGAGCAGCCCAGAGUCUGAAUCAGCUUGUGUGUUAGUGGAACGGUCUGGAAAGUCCGACGGUACAGGGUGAUAGUCCCGUACACCAAAAUGCACAGGUUGUGAACUCGAAGAGUAGGGCGGGACACGUGGUAUCCUGUCUGAAUAUGGGGGGACCAUCCUCCAAGGCUAAAUACUCCUGACUGACCGAUAGUGAACCAGUACCGUGAGGGAAAGGCGAAAAGAACCCCGGCGAGGGGAGUGAAAAAGAACCUGAAACCGUGUACGUACAAGCAGUGGGAGCACCUUCGGGUGUGACUGCGUACCUUUUGUAUAAUGGGUCAGCGACUUAUAUUCUGUAGCAAGGUUAACCGUAUAGGGGAGCCGCAGGGAAACCGAGUCUUAACUGGGCGUUAAGUUGCAGGGUAUAGACCCGAAACCCGGUGAUCUAGCCAUGGGCAGGUUGAAGGUUGGGUAACACUAACUGGAGGACCGAACCGACUAAUGUUGAAAAAUUAGCGGAUGACUUGUGGCUGGGGGUGAAAGGCCAAUCAAACCGGGAGAUAGCUGGUUCUCCCCGAAAGCUAUUUAGGUAGCGCCUCGUGAACUCAUCUUCGGGGGUAGAGCACUGUUUCGGCUAGGGGGUCAUCCCGACUUACCAACCCGAUGCAAACUACGAAUACCGAAGAAUGUUAUCACGGGAGACACACGGCGGGUGCUAACGUCCGUCGUGAAGAGGGAAACAACCCAGACCGCCAGCUAAGGUCCCAAAGUCAUGGUUAAGUGGGAAACGAUGUGGGAAGGCACAGACAGCCAGGAUGUUGGCUUAGAAGCAGCCAUCAUUUAAAGAAAGCGUAAUAGCUCACUGGUCGAGUCGGCCUGCGCGGAAGAUGUAACGGGGCUAAACCAUGCACCGAAGCUGCGGCAGCGACACUAUGUGUUGUUGGGUAGGGGAGCGUUCUGUAAGCCUGCGAAGGUGUGCUGUGAGGCAUGCUGGAGGUAUCAGAAGUGCGAAUGCUGACAUAAGUAACGAUAAAGCGGGUGAAAAGCCCGCUCGCCGGAAGACCAAGGGUUCCUGUCCAACGUUAAUCGGGGCAGGGUGAGUCGACCCCUAAGGCGAGGCCGAAAGGCGUAGUCGAUGGGAAACAGGUUAAUAUUCCUGUACUUGGUGUUACUGCGAAGGGGGGACGGAGAAGGCUAUGUUAGCCGGGCGACGGUUGUCCCGGUUUAAGCAUGUAGGCUGAUUGUCCAGGCAAAUCCGGAUAAUCAAGGCUGAGGUGUGAUGACGAGGCACUACGGUGCUGAAGUAACAAAUGCCCUGCUUCCAGGAAAAGCCUCUAAGCAUCAGGUAACAUUAAAUCGUACCCCAAACCGACACAGGUGGUCAGGUAGAGAAUACCAAGGCGCUUGAGAGAACUCGGGUGAAGGAACUAGGCAAAAUGGUGCCGUAACUUCGGGAGAAGGCACGCUGGUGUGUAGGUGAAGUCCCUGCGGAUGGAGCUGAGACCAGUCGAAGAUACCAGCUGGCUGCAACUGUUUAUUAAAAACACAGCACUGUGCAAACACGAAAGUGGACGUAUACGGUGUGACGCCUGCCCGGUGCCGGAAGGUUAAUUGAUGGGGUUAUCCGUAAGGAGAAGCUCUUGAUCGAAGCCCCGGUAAACGGCGGCCGUAACUAUAACGGUCCUAAGGUAGCGAAAUUCCUUGUCGGGUAAGUUCCGACCUGCACGAAUGGCGUAAUGAUGGCCAGGCUGUCUCCACCCGAGACUCAGUGAAAUUGAACUCGCUGUGAAGAUGCAGUGUACCCGCGGCAAGACGGAAAGACCCCGUGAACCUUUACUAUAGCUUGACACUGAACAUUGAGCCUUGAUGUGUAGGAUAGGUGGGAGGCUUUGAAGCGUGGACGCCAGUCUGCGUGGAGCCAACCUUGAAAUACCACCCUUUAAUGUUUGAUGUUCUAACGUUGGCCCCUUACCGGGGUUGCGGACAGUGUCUGGUGGGUAGUUUGACUGGGGCGGUCUCCUCCCAAAGCGUAACGGAGGAGCACGAAGGUUAGCUAAUCCUGGUCGGACAUCAGGAGGUUAGUGCAAUGGCAUAAGCUAGCUUGACUGCGAGCGUGACGGCGCGAGCAGGUGCGAAAGCAGGUCAUAGUGAUCCGGUGGUUCUGAAUGGAAGGGCCAUCGCUCAACGGAUAAAAGGUACUCCGGGGAUAACAGGCUGAUACCGCCCAAGAGUUCAUAUCGACGGCGGUGUUUGGCACCUCGAUGUCGGCUCAUCACAUCCUGGGGCUGAAGUAGGUCCCAAGGGUAUGGCUGUUCGCCAUUUAAAGUGGUACGCGAGCUGGGUUUAGAACGUCGUGAGACAGUUCGGUCCCUAUCUGCCGUGGGCGCUGGAGAAUUGAGGGGGGCUGCUCCUAGUACGAGAGGACCGGAGUGGACGCAUCACUGGUGUUCGGGUUGUCAUGCCAAUGGCACUGCCCGGUAGCUAAAUGCGGAAGAGAUAAGUGCUGAAAGCAUCUAAGCACGAAACUUGCCCUGAGAUGAGUUCUCCCUGAGACUUUAAGUCUCCUGAAGGAACGUUGAAGACGACGACGUUGAUAGGCCGGGUGUGUAAGCGCAGCGAUGCGUUGAGCUAACCGGUACUAAUGAACCGUGAGGCUUAACCUU